UACGUAGGGUGCGAGCGUUGUCCGGAAUUAUUGGGCGUAAAGAGCUUGUAGGCGGUUUGUCGCGUCUGCUGUGAAAAUCCGGGGCUCAACCCCGGACUUGCAGUGGGUACGGGGCAGACUGGAGUGUGGUAGGGGAGACUGGAAUUCCUGGUGUAGCGGUGGAAUGCGCAGAUAUCAGGAGGAACACCGAUGGCGAAGGCAGGUCUCUGGGCCACUACUGACGCUGAGAAGCGAAAGCAUGGGGAGCGAACAGG
Molecule: ribosomal RNA, 254 nt
Filed under: uncultured bacterium
Lineage: Bacteria
Description: partial 16S ribosomal RNA
Rfam family: Bacterial small subunit ribosomal RNA
Source: RNAcentral